AGGGUUUCCUGGUUACUUGCUCCAAGG
RNAcentral lists this non-coding RNA (27 nucleotides) under Mus musculus (house mouse). Lineage: Eukaryota; Metazoa; Chordata; Mammalia; Rodentia; Muridae. The record is from RNAcentral.